This 1344-nucleotide ribosomal RNA is filed under the name uncultured bacterium. RNAcentral's name for it is "16S ribosomal RNA". It matches the Rfam family "Bacterial small subunit ribosomal RNA", at positions 28 to 1378 of the family's 1533-position model. The record is from RNAcentral.
GACGAACGCUGGCGGCGUGCUUAACACAUGCAAGUCGAACGGAAAGGCCCUGCUUUUGUGGGGUGCUCGAGUGGCGAACGGGUGAGUAACACGUGAGUAACCUGCCCUUGACUUUGGGAUAACUUCAGGAAACUGGGGCUAAUACCGGAUAGGAGCUCCUGCUGCAUGGUGGGGGUUGGAAAGUUUCGGCGGUUGGGGAUGGACUCGCGGCUUAUCAGCUUGUUGGUGGGGUAGUGGCUUACCAAGGCUUUGACGGGUAGCCGGCCUGAGAGGGUGACCGGCCACAUUGGGACUGAGAUACGGCCCAGACUCCUACGGGAGGCAGCAGUGGGGAAUAUUGCACAAUGGGCGGAAGCCUGAUGCAGCAACGCCGCGUGCGGGAUGACGGCCUUCGGGUUGUAAACCGCUUUCGCCUGUGACGAAGCGUGAGUGACGGUAAUGGGUAAAGAAGCACCGGCUAACUACGUGCCAGCAGCCGCGGUGAUACGUAGGGUGCGAGCGUUGUCCGGAUUUAUUGGGCGUAAAGGGCUCGUAGGUGGUUGAUCGCGUCGGAAGUGUAAUCUUGGGGCUUAACCCUGAGCGUGCUUUCGAUACGGGUUGACUUGAGGAAGGUAGGGGAGAAUGGAAUUCCUGGUGGAGCGGUGGAAUGCGCAGAUAUCAGGAGGAACACCAGUGGCGAAGGCGGUUCUCUGGGCCUUUCCUGACGCUGAGGAGCGAAAGCGUGGGGAGCGAACAGGCUUAGAUACCCUGGUAGUCCACGCUGUAAACGGUGGGUACUAGGUGUGGGGUCCAUUCCACGGGUUCCGUGCCGUAGCUAACGCUUUAAGUACCCCGCCUGGGGAGUACGGCCGCAAGGCUAAAACUCAAAGGAAUUGGCGGGGCCCCGCACAAGCGGCGGAGCAUGCGGAUUAAUUCGAUGCAACGCGUAGAACCUUACCUGGGUUUGACAUGGAUCGGGAGUGCUCAGAGAUGGGUGUGCCUCUUUAUGGGGUCGGUUCACAGGUGGUGCAUGGCUGUCGUCAGCUCGUGUCGUGAGAUGUUGGGUUAAGUCCCGCAACGAGCGCAACCCUUGUUCACUGUUGCCAGCACGUUAUGGUGGGGACUCAGUGGAGACCGCCGGGGUCAACUCGGAGGAAGGUGGGGAUGACGUCAAGUCAUCAUGCCCCUUAUGUCCAGGGCUUCACGCAUGCUACAAUGGCUGGUACAGAGAGUGGCGAGCCUGUGAGGGUGAGCGAAUCUCGGAAAGCCGGUCUCAGUUCGGAUUGGGGUCUGCAACUCGACCUCAUGAAGUCGGAGUCGCUAGUAAUCGCAGAUCAGCAACGCUGCGGUGAAUACGUUCCCGGG